CAAUAGCGUAUAUUAAAGUUGUUGCAGUUAGAACGCUCGUAGUCGGAUUUCGGGGCGGGCCGACCGGUCUGCCGAUGGGUAUGCACUGGUCGGCGCGUCCUUCCUUCCGGAGACCGUCCCUACUCUUAACUGAGCGGGGGCGGGAGACGGGACUUUUACUUUGAAAAAAUCAGAGUGUUUCAAGCAGGCAGCUCGCUCUUGCAUGGAUUAGCAUGGGAUAAUGAAAUAGGACUUUGGUGCUAUUUUGUUGGUUUCGAACACUGAAGUAAUGAUGAGAAGGGACAGUCAGGGGCACUCGUAUUCCGCCGAGAGAGGUGAAAUUCUCAGACCAGCGGAAGACGAACCACUGCGAAAGCAUUUGCCAGGGAUGUUUUCACUGA
This 380-nucleotide ribosomal RNA is filed under the name uncultured eukaryote. Its description in RNAcentral is "partial 18S ribosomal RNA". It matches the Rfam family "Eukaryotic small subunit ribosomal RNA", at positions 592 to 976 of the family's 1831-position model. The record is from RNAcentral.